This is a long non-coding RNA of Gasterosteus aculeatus aculeatus (three-spined stickleback), 370 nucleotides long. Lineage: Eukaryota; Metazoa; Chordata; Actinopteri; Perciformes; Gasterosteidae. The record is from Ensembl.
AAGAGGACAGGAGCCGAACCGCUGUGGGAAAGUCCCCCGUAAUGCUCCUCAGCUCCCUCCGCAGAGACCAGAGGGCCGAAGAAAGCCUCAUUCACAAAGCGCUAUCCGAUGAGCCGGCCUCUAAAAGCCUCCAGCAGCACGCAGAGGCCCGAGACGGACGGAUCAGCAGAUCUGUGAGGAACCUGGAGGCCUGGCAGGCGCUCAAGCCACCUUUUGUGUGGGUCAUGUGCACGCAGCCUGGAUGCUUCUCUCACACACACACACACACACACACACGAGCGUGGACAUACUUUGACAUUGCCAUGUUUAUUCAUGAGGGUGGUUCUUCCUGCAUGUGGAGACCUGCUCUGCUCCAUCUACAACUGUUUCU